UUCUCUAUUGGCCUCUCUAUGGAUCACAGGAAUCAAACCUGGUCUUUCCUCUGCACUGAUCUUGGGUCAAAGGAAUUAAACCCUGUCUUCCCUCACAGUUAUAAUUCACUGGGUUUUCGAAACACAACAUUUAUUAAGCCUGGUUUGACUCAUUUCUCAUCAAGAAACUUAAAACAGGAUACAUGCAUACACAAGGGAUAAAACAUA
Molecule: long non-coding RNA, 207 nt
Filed under: Manihot esculenta (cassava)
Lineage: Eukaryota; Viridiplantae; Streptophyta; Magnoliopsida; Malpighiales; Euphorbiaceae
Description: long non-coding RNA (MESC_LNC011180)
Source: RNAcentral